RNAcentral lists this ribosomal RNA (500 nucleotides) under uncultured organism. RNAcentral describes it as "bacterial SSU rRNA". It matches the Rfam family "Bacterial small subunit ribosomal RNA", at positions 29 to 507 of the family's 1533-position model. The record is from RNAcentral.
AGCGAACGUUAGCGGCGGGCUUAACACAUGCAAGUCGAACGCGAAAGGGAUUCGUCCCCGGUAGCGUGGCGUCCGGGUGAGUAACACGUAGGAAACCUUGCCUCGAGCGGGGGAUAACGUCCCGAAAGGGACGCUAAUACCGCAUAAGCCCACGCCGGCUCCGGCCGGAGUGGGAAAAGAUGGCCACUGAAUUCAAGCUAUCUCUCGAGGAUGGUCCUGCGGCGCAUCAGCUAGUUGGUGGGGUAACGGCCCACCAAGGCGAAGACGCGUAGCUGGUCUGAGAGGAUGAUCAGCCACACUGGCACUGAAACACGGGCCAGACUCCUACGGGAGGCAGCAGUGGGGAAUAUUGGACAAUGGGCGCAAGCCUGAUCCAGCCACGCCGCGUGAGUGAUGAAGGCCUUCGGGUUGUAAAGCUCUGUGGGGAGGGGCGAAAACGGCCGGUAAGAAACGACCGGUCCUUGACGGUACCUCCUUAGCAAGCACCGGCUAACUCUGUG